GUGGGGAAUUUUGGACAAUGGGGGCAACCCUGAUCCAGCCAUGCCGCGUGCGGGAAGAAGGCCUUCGGGUUGUAAACCGCUUUUAGUCGGGAAGAAAAGGCGUCGUCUAAUAAACGGCGUUCUUGACGGUACCGGCGGAAUAAGCACCGGCUAACUACGUGCCAGCAGCCGCGGUAAUACGUAGGGUGCGAGCGUUAAUCGGAAUUACUGGGCGUAAAGCGUGCGCAGGCGGUUCGUUAAGUUCGAUGUGAAAGCCCCGGGCUCAACCUGGGAACUGCAUUGGAAACUGGCGAGCUUGAGUGUGGCAGAGGGGGGUGGAAUUCCGCGUGUAGCAGUGAAAUGCGUAGAGAUGCGGAGGAACACCGAUGGCGAAGGCAGCCCCCUGGGCCAACACUGACGCUCAGGCACGAAAGCGUGGGGAGCAAACAGGAUUAGAAACCCCUGUAGUCC
RNAcentral lists this ribosomal RNA (450 nucleotides) under uncultured bacterium. RNAcentral describes it as "bacterial SSU rRNA". It matches the Rfam family "Bacterial small subunit ribosomal RNA", at positions 354 to 796 of the family's 1533-position model. The record is from RNAcentral.